RNAcentral lists this ribosomal RNA (801 nucleotides) under uncultured bacterium. RNAcentral describes it as "bacterial SSU rRNA". It matches the Rfam family "Bacterial small subunit ribosomal RNA", at positions 8 to 798 of the family's 1533-position model. The record is from RNAcentral.
AGAGUUUGAUCCUGGCUCAGAUUGAACGCUGGCGGCAGGCCUAACACAUGCAAGUCGAGCGGUAACACAGAGGAGCUUGCUCCUUGGGUGACGAGCGGCGGACGGGUGAGUAAUGCCUGGGGAUCUGCCCGAUAGAGGGGGAUAACUACGGGAAACUGUAGCUAAUACCGCAUAACGUCUACGGACCAAAGUGGGGGCUCUUCGGACCUCAUGCUAUCGGAUGAACCCAGGUGGGAUUAGCUAGUUGGUGAGGUAAUGGCUCACCAAGGCGACGAUCUCUAACUGGUUUGAGAGAAUGACCAGUCACACUGGAACUGAGACACGGUCCAGACUCCUACGGGAGGCAGCAGUGGGGAAUAUUGCACAAUGGGCGCAAGCCUGAUGCAGCCAUGCCGCGUGUGUGAAGAAGGCCUUCGGGUUGUAAAGCACUUUCAGCGGGGAGGAAGGGCUACUAGUUAAUACCUAGUGGCAUUGACGUUACUCGCAGAAGAAGCACCGGCUAACUCCGUGCCAGCAGCCGCGGUAAUACGGAGGGUGCAAGCGUUAAUCGGAAUUACUGGGCGUAAAGCGCACGCAGGCGGUUUGUUAAGUCAGAUGUGAAAUCCCCGAGCUCAACUUGGGAACUGCAUUUGAAACUGGCAAGCUAGAGUCUUGUAGAGGGGGGUAGAAUUCCAGGUGUAGCGGUGAAAUGCGUAGAGAUCUGGAGGAAUACCGGUGGCGAAGGCGGCCCCCUGGACAAAGACUGACGCUCAGGUGCGAAAGCGUGGGGAGCAAACAGGAUUAGAUACCCCGGUAGUCCAA